RNAcentral lists this long non-coding RNA (1231 nucleotides) under Felis catus (domestic cat). RNAcentral's name for it is "lncRNA (ENSFCAG00000049465.1)". Lineage: Eukaryota; Metazoa; Chordata; Mammalia; Carnivora; Felidae. The record is from RNAcentral.
GGGGAUUGGCAGUCCUCUUUCUCCCCCGCCCGGCCCAGGAAGCCCAUGUCCCUGUCCAGCGGCGGCACCUGCUACCAUGACUUCCAACAACAUUUCAGUGACGGGGGCCCCACCUGCGCCAGCCUUUUUUUGCGGAUAUUUCGGAAACAAGCAGUCCUUUCUCCUCCCUGCCAGGGAGAAGGUCCACGUUUGCCAGCUCCUUCACAAAUAGCCCAAGUCACUCACAGCAUGGCACCACCUGAAUGCCCGCUUCACUAGGCAAACAGCACACACACACACACACACACACACGCACGCACUCCCAUCUCCCCAUCCAAGAAAGGGGGCCGUUUCAAUGGAAGAAGUGUCAUUCUCCGGAAAAGGUCCAAUUCAGGCUCCACAACCAAGGCACUUGUACGGCCGCUUGGUGGGAAAAUUUCGUUCCAGAAACUGAGUCGUGAUGAGGGACAGACCCAAAAGCCCGAUUGGCGUAAGCGUUCCACCUGUUCCGACUCCUGUCACUUUUGUUUGGUGUUGCGUCUUCGAGAAAGAAACCCUGAUCCACUCCCGCGCCGGAAACAUUUUGCGCGUACAACGCCUCACAAAAUAAGGUCUCUAAACGCUUUCCAAGUACAAGGAAGCACUAGACUGUCUUGCAGCCAGACCCACCUGACGGGCCCUGGGAAACGUGAUUCUGGGGAGCGGCCCAGAAGCCUCCACGGGGAGCACAGAAAGAGAGAGGGAGGUGCCGGGCCCUGGAGCUGCGGAAUUUAGGAGUGGGAGAGGGCCGUGACUGCCCUCGCCUGCCCCGGUCACAGGCCGCAGGGAAAUUGUUCCUGGCUGCACUCUGGGGUGCCCUGGGGAAGACAACAAAGCAGCUUGUAUGCAUGAGCAGGACACCCCACACUGACCUCAGUGGGGCCUCCACACUCUGGGACAGGAGUGCACCUGACGUCUUUACGUGGCUGCUCCCAGUUCUUUGCUGCGUGCUGUUUUCACCGCUUAUCAACGCCCGAUGCCGCCCCUAAGUUAGUCCAAACGAGACUUUCUGAGUUCUUUCUCACUGAGAACACGUGUGGAAGUCACCACUGUCCACGAGGAUGUUGGCAGGCACAGGACCUGCCCCUCCGUGCCGGGGAGGAGAGGGGGCACCAGACCACGUGAAGGCACAGGACGGCACGUCCCUAAGCGCCCACAUGCACCCCCCAAGCCACAUGUGUCCCUCAGGCUCGUGGGUUCUGUAAUUAAGUGC